This 63-nucleotide transfer RNA is filed under the name Haemaphysalis japonica. RNAcentral describes it as "tRNA-Ser". Lineage: Eukaryota; Metazoa; Arthropoda; Arachnida; Ixodida; Ixodidae. The record is from RNAcentral.
GACUUUUUAACUAUAUAAGUAUAUAUUUUGAAAAUAUAAAAAAGAGAAUCUCUCUAUUAGUCU